RNAcentral lists this small RNA (556 nucleotides) under Malus domestica (apple). RNAcentral's name for it is "sRNA MD03G0025600". Lineage: Eukaryota; Viridiplantae; Streptophyta; Magnoliopsida; Rosales; Rosaceae. The record is from RNAcentral.
UUCGUAGCUUCCAAGCCUAGACAAGAGAUCAUAUACGCGGCUUUUGCGUUUGUUUAUGUCUGAUUUGCACCGAUUUUGGUCGGAUCUAUUUCUGAUUUUGUUUUCUGUUUGAGCACCGGUUGUUUUUGCAUCGCUGGGAAGUUAAUUUUCUACAACUGAGAGUUUUCCUGGCUAAGAGGAUAUUUUGUGGUUUGGUUCCUUGCUUGGUCAGUCUCAGGUUUACGGUACCGACGGUUCCGACGGUCCUGUUAUUUUUUGGAAAAUCAGGAAUUUGAACAUCAGCUUGCGACUUCGCUGUCGAUUUGAACGCCACCAGCUUCGAUGCAGUCCUUGGAGACACCCCUGCCUCUUUGCCAUAGUCAAAUUCUUCGCUCACUGGUGCAAAACACCAUAGAGUAUUUAAACAUCAUCGGGGCCUUGGAUGAGAAUGAGAAUCUGACUGUUUUAGAUAUUUCAGAAUUUUAGAAAGCAGGUGCGGUUUGAUCAAUUAAGGCCAACCUGAUUUACAGAGGUUUGAUUAAAGGUACACUACUAAUUACCUCACUUUUCUCCCAAG